This 253-nucleotide ribosomal RNA is filed under the name uncultured bacterium. Its description in RNAcentral is "partial 16S ribosomal RNA". It matches the Rfam family "Bacterial small subunit ribosomal RNA", at positions 524 to 776 of the family's 1533-position model. The record is from RNAcentral.
GACGAACCGUGCGAACGUUGUUCGGAAUCACUGGGCUUAAAGGGCGCGUAGGCGGCUCAUCAAGUCGGGGGUGAAAUCUUUCGGCCUAACCGGAAAAGUGCCUUCGAUACUGGUGAGCUUGAGCGAGGUAGGGGCAGAUGGAACUUCCGGUGGAGCGGUGAAAUGUGUUGAUAUCGGAAGGAACGCCGGUGGCGAAAGCGAUCUGCUGGACCUUAACUGACACUGAGGGACGAAAGCUAGGGGAGCGAAUGGG